UGUGUCAGAGACGCUGUAGAAGGACAGAGUUCCUGCCCUGUGAUCCAGGUACACUCCUAUUCUGGAGGAGCAGGGAACAGGGAUUUUAGUGCUCUUAUUAUU
Anguilla anguilla (European eel) is the source of this 102-nucleotide long non-coding RNA. RefSeq lists it as uncharacterized. Lineage: Eukaryota; Metazoa; Chordata; Actinopteri; Anguilliformes; Anguillidae. The transcript is spliced from 2 exons. The record is from RefSeq and is a predicted model, not a curated record.